Molecule: RNA transcript, 6771 nt
Organism: Tachyglossus aculeatus (Australian echidna)
Lineage: Eukaryota; Metazoa; Chordata; Mammalia; Monotremata; Tachyglossidae
Gene: PPFIA4
Gene name: PTPRF interacting protein alpha 4
Exons: 31
Source: RefSeq, a predicted model, not a curated record
UGCAUGGAGGCGUCCGGCUCCCUCCCCGCCUCCCGCCAGCGAGGCCCAGGCCAGACCUAGUCCCGCUCUCCAGGGGUAAAGACAUCACGGUACCCAGGUUGGAUGCUACCAGAAUCCAGUGCCCGGCGGGAGAAGUAGGGCACCCACUCUCCUGGCACAGGCAGCUCCUUAUCAUGGCCCGGCCUGGCUGCUGCUCGCCCAUCUCCUGCUUGCCUGGCUGGAGGUUCGAGAGGCACAGGCAGCACCCUGAGAGACCCCCCAGGGCUCCGCAUCACCUCCAGGCAGCAGGAUCUAGGUGGGGUGAGGGUCUCUGACUUGCAUCCAUGUGUGGGCAUGGGGAGAGCUCCCUGCCGGGAUCUACUCCUGCCUGGUUAGAUCUUCUCUGAGGCUGAGAGCCAGUGACCCACCCUGUGAGACCCCCACUACCCCCUCCCGCCAUGUGUGAGGUGAUGCCCACCAUCAGCGAGGGGGACCCCCUGGGCCCCUCCCACCCUGCCGACGCGGACGCCAACUUCGAGCAGCUGAUGGUGAACAUGCUGGAUGAGCGGGAGAAGCUGCUGGAGUCCCUGCGCGAGAGUCAGGAGAGCUUGGGGGCCACUCAGAGCCGGCUGCAGGAUGCCCUGCACCAGCGGGAUCAGCUGCAACGCCACCUCAACUCUGCCCUGCCCCAGGAGUUUGCCACGCUGACCCGGGAGCUGAACGUCUGUCAGGAGCAGCUUCUGGAGAGGGAGGAGGAGAUCUCGGAGCUGAAGGCCGAGCGAAACAACACGAGGCUGCUCCUGGAGCACUUGGAAUGCCUGGUGUCCCGCCACGAGCGCUCUCUACGGAUGACGGUGGUCAAACGUCAGGCCCAGUCGCCCUCGGGCGUGUCCAGUGAGGUGGAAGUCCUCAAGGCCCUCAAGUCCCUAUUUGAGCACCACAAGGCGCUGGAUGAGAAGGUGCGGGAGCGGCUGAGGGCGGCCCUGGAGCGUGUCACCACCCUGGAGGAGCAGCUGGCCGGGGCCCACCAACAGGUGUCUGCCCUGCAGCAGGGCUCCCGGCCCCGAGAUGGAGCUCCAGGGGAGGCGGGGAGCCGAGGAGAGACCCCGGAGCCGGGGCCCAAGCUCCCGUGGAAGCGACUGACCAAUGGCUCGGUGCAUCCGGAGGAUGAGGUGGGGCGGACCCUGGAGCUGCAGGAGCUGCUGGAGAAGCAGAACCUGGAGCUGGCCCAGGCCCGGGAGCGGUUGGCGGCUCUGGUGGCUACCGUGGCCGAGCUGGAGGAGGACCUGGGAACUGCCCGCAAGGACCUUAUCAAGUCGGAGGAGUUGAGCAGCAAGCACCAGCGGGACCUCCGUGAGGCCCUGGCGCAGAAGGACGACAUGGAAGAACGCAUCACCACCCUGGAGAAGCGCUAUCUCGCGGCCCAGCGGGAGGCCACGUCCAUCCAUGACCUCAACGACAAGCUGGAGAAUGAGCUGGCUACCGAGGCAUCCCUGCACCGCCAGUGCGAGGAGAAAUCCCGGCACCUGCAGGAGCUGUUGGAGCUGGCUGAGCAGAAGCUGCAGCAGACCAUCCGCAAGGCCGAGACCCUGCCCGAGGUAGAGGCCGAGCUGGCCCAGAGGAUCGCGGCCCUCACCAAGGCUGAGGAGCGGCAUGGCAACAUUGAGGAACAUCUGAGGCAGCUGGAGGGGCAGUUGGAGGAGAAGAACCAGGAGCUGGCCAGGGUGCGCCAGCGAGAGAAGAUGAACGAGGACCACAACAAGCGCCUGUCGGACACGGUGGACCGGCUGCUGAGCGAGUCCAACGAGCGGCUACAGCUGCACCUCAAGGAGCGAAUGGCGGCCCUGGAGGAGAAGAAUACGUUGAUCCAGGAGCUGGAGAGUUCCCAGCGGCAGAUUGAGGAGCAGCAUCACCACAAGGGCCGGCUGUCGGAGGAGAUCGAGAAGCUGCGCCUGGAAGUGGACCAGCUGCGGGGGCGGAGUGGCCCGUUUGGGGAGGGGGUCCAUUCCAGGUCCCACUUGGGGAGUGCCGUGGAUCUAAGAUUUCCCCUAAGCAGCGUGGUUCAUGCUCCCCCAGGCCCCCAUGCCCUUCACCGCCGCUUCUCUGCCUUACGGGAAGAGCCCAGCAAGGACUGGGAGCUUUCUCCACUCCCGGGGGUCCUGGCCCCAGCGGCCCCUGCUUUUGACAGCGACCCUGAGAUCUCGGAUGUGGACGAAGAAGAGCCAGCGGGGUCGGUGGGCCCUGUGGACGUCCUCUCCCCGAGCGGCCACUCGGAUGCCCAGACCCUGGCCAUGAUGCUCCAGGAGCAGCUGGACGCCAUCAAUGAGGAGAUCAGGAUGAUCCAGGAAGAGAAGGAGUCCACAGAGCUGCGGGCCGACGAGAUCGCGACCCGGGUGACCAGUGGGAGCAUGGAGGCCCUGAACCUGACGCAGCUGCGCAAACGGGGCUCGAUCCCCACCUCCCUCACUGCCCUGUCCCUGGCCAGUGCCUCUCCGCCGCUCAGCGGCCGUUCCACCCCCAAGCUCACCUCCCGCAGUGCCGCCCAGGAUCUGGACCGCAUGGGGGUCAUGACAUUGCCAAGCGAUUUAAGGAAACACAGGAGGAAGCUUCUGUCUCCAGUUGCUCGGGAAGAGAGCCGAGAAGACAAAACCACCAUAAAAUGUGAGACCUCUCCUCCUUCCUCACCCAGGACCCUGCGGCUGGAGAGGCUCGGCCACCUGGCCUCCAGCCAGGAAGAUGGAAAAAGCUCCUUGGACGACCAGGGCAGUAAUCCCAGCAGCAGCAGCAACAGCAGCCAGGAUUCUCUGCACAAGGGCACCAAGCGCAAAGGCAUCAAGUCUUCCAUCGGCCGCCUGUUUGGGAAGAAGGAGAAGGGCCGGCUCAUCCAGCUGAGCAGGGAAGGAGCUCCGGGCCAAGUUAUGCUGUCGGAAUCGGAGCCGAACCUGCAGGAGCCCCUGGUGCCCUCCAAGCUGGGCACUCAGGCAGAGAAGGACCGGCGAUUAAGGAAGAAGCACCAGCUCCUGGAGGAUGCCCGUCGCAAGGGGAUGCCCUUUGCCCUCUGGGACGGACCCACGGUGGUGUCAUGGCUGGAGCUGUGGGUGGGGAUGCCCGCCUGGUACGUGGCGGCCUGCCGUGCCAACGUCAAGAGUGGCGCUAUCAUGUCGGCCCUGUCGGACACGGAGAUCCAGCGGGAGAUCGGCAUCAGUAACGCCCUGCACCGGCUCAAGCUCCGACUGGCCAUCCAGGAGAUGGUGUCGCUGACCAGCCCUUCUGCCCCGCCUACCUCCAGGACGUCUUCUGGGAAUGUCUGGGUGACCCACGAGGAGAUGGAGACACUGGCGACGUCAACCAAGACUGAUAACGAAGAGGGUAGCUGGGCUCAGACCUUGGCCUACGGGGAUAUGAACCACGAGUGGAUCGGGAACGAGUGGCUGCCCAGCCUGGGCCUCCCCCAGUACCGCAGCUACUUCAUGGAGUGCUUGGUGGAUGCCCGCAUGCUGGACCACCUCACCAAGAAGGAUCUGCGCGUCCACUUGAAGAUGGUGGACAGUUUCCACCGGUCCAGCCUGCAGUAUGGCAUCAUGUGCCUGAAGAGGCUCAACUAUGACCGGAAGGAACUGGAGAAGAGGCGAGACGAGAGCCAGCAUGAAAUUCAAGAUGUGCUGGUGUGGACCAACGACCAGGUGAUGCACUGGAUUCAGUCCAUUGGCCUGCGGGAAUACGCCAACAACCUCCACGAGAGCGGGGUGCACGGGGCCCUCCUCGCCCUGGACGAGAACUUCGAUCACAACACGCUGGCCCUGGUGUUACAGAUCCCCACGCAGAAUACCCAGGCCCGGCAAGUAAUGGAAAGAGAGUUCAACAACCUCCUGGCCUUGGGCACGGACCGACGGCUGGACGAUGGAGAUGACAAGGCAUUCCGGCGGGCCCCAUCCUGGAGGAAGCGAUUCCGGCCUCGGGAUGCCCAUGGGGGCAGUGUGCUCAGCACGUCGGCAGAGGCACUUCCUGCCGCCUUCCGAGUCUCCGCACUGGGGCCCCUGCAGCCUCCUUCAGCCCCUCCAAAGAAGAUGUUGCCAGAAGCCGGGACACCAGGGUCACAGAGAUUGGAGGCCUCUACGGUCCGGACCUACUCCUGCUGAGCCCCCGCCCCGCCCUGCCCCGGGUCUGACGGGGAUCUGCCCGUCGCUCGGGUGCAUUCCCACUAUCUGUAUGGACACAUGCUCUCCGCCUUUCGAGACUGAGUGCCCCCAACCAGCUCCCUCUUCACCUGGCGACAGACCCGUCCCCUCCUGCUUGUUCCCUGCCAAGUCGCUCCCAGUCUUGUCCGUGAACUCUCCAGUCACCCUGGCCUCUGGGUCUAAGAAUAUACUCAUCGUCCACUGCUCCCCUUGGCUUUUCUGUGUCCCUCAGGUUUCCUUCGUCCUCGUGUCUCGUGUGGAUGUUGCUAAGGGCCUGUUGGCCGGGCCCCAGCCCGCCACGCUAGGAGUGAGGGCCCAACCCUGACUCUUUCCUCUUCUGCCUGGGGGUCUGGAGGCUGACAGUGACUCAUCCCCUUAUCCUGGCAGCCAGGGGCAGAGGGUAUCCUGUUCGGCAGGUUGGCACAGCUCCAAGCUGAAGGGGCGAUGGCACCAGCAUCGACUCUGGGCCUGUCCUCCCGGAGGCAGCAAUGAUCUCUAUUCUGGUCAGUCUUCAUCUGUAGACUCAUUGCAAGUUUUCUGACCUUAAGAAGCCUUUCUUCAGCGCCCACCCCCCACACGCCCCCAAGCUGGAGUUUGUGUCACCCUUAGGGGAUAUCUGGAUCUCCACUUUCUCUUCCUUCUCCAGCAGCUUUAGACUGGGGGGUGGGAGUGGGUUUAAAGGCAGAGAGAAGGGACCUUAAAUCCACAUCCAUCUGUCCACAAUGAGCAGUUUAAGCUAAGGGGUCUUUCCCACCUUACCUCCGGAGUAGGCUCUGUGCCAGUUCCUGCAGUAGGUUCUGGGAAGUUCCAGGUAGACCAGAGGGCUGGUGAGAGAAAUAGGGACCGGAAGGGAAGGAGAAACCUGGAUGGGUUGAAAGAGAGAGGCCCAGAGUGGAGUCCGGUUAGGUGAAGCUCCUGGCACUGCUGUCCUCUUGCCCUCUCUUUCCAGAUGCCCACAGAAGACUGUGGGUUUUCCACUUGAAAUAAAGCAAAUCCAACUACCAGGACACCCUUGCUGCUUGGGGCUAGCAGCUCCUACCUAGGGGUCAGCUGCCUCCCCACUUCCCAGACUGCUUCCCAGAGAGAGGCAGUGGGGAUUGGCAGCCCUGCCAGAUCCCAGCAGGGAUUGAGACCACUCCUGAGCCCAGCUGGGGCAGGGCUGGGGCCAGAGGAGUGACUGCAGGGCUACGUGAACUUUUGAGCAGGCUCACUAUGGCCUAUCUGACAGCUCCUGCCCCUAUCCUAAUUCUGCCAUGGUCUUCUGGUGGGGGGCGGGGCAGGGGACUGACAUAGUCCCAGCAAGCCCUGGGGGAUUGAGAGGGAUAAGGGGUCCCAGGACAGCAGUUGGUGGUAAACUUUGACUUAGAGGGCCUCCCCUGAGCUCUCCAUUGCCCCAGGGUGAGCCUGGAAAUCUCUCUGCUCCCAGCUUUUGAAUAUUGAUCCUGGCUCCAUCCAGGAUAACUCAGGGCCAAAUUCAGUCCCCGACUCCUCCCAGGGUGCCGCACUCUACUUAGUCGCUUCCUCGGGGUGUGAGAGCCCCUUUGGGCCUGGGACAGUGUCGGUCCAUCUCCAGGCUACUGUCAAUGCUCUGCAGAGCACCGGUCCCUCAGCCAACCAGUGGGCACGAAGCAUGCUUCCUUCCAGAAGGGAAUGCUGAGGCCACAAGGGUGGAUGGCUGAGCAGAGUUCUCCGACCUGGGCAGAGAGGAGGGAAGGGAGAGUGGUCAGCGCCAGUGGUCAGCGCUUGGGUCUUUCAUUGCUUUUUUCAGGAAGGGGUUACAGGGGAGGAAAUCCUUCACAUAAUCUUUGCCUUGUCUCCCUCCCUUUGGGGUCAGUCCCAAGGCUUGAGACGCUACUGAGGCCUCGGCUCUGCUAGGGCGGAGGGAGUUGUGAGGGAUUCACAGGCCUGAAGGUGGUCUGGACUAAGUGAGGAUCUGUUCCCCACCGCUCCUUCCCAGGAGCAAGCGAACCUGGUUUAUGCAGGGACCAGAGGGGUUUGGGAGCCAAGAAGGGAGUCUUAGUGGGUGAGAGUGGGGUGUGGAUGGGAGGUGGAGGAGAGCGAGAUUAGGGGAGGGAGAGAGACAGGGAACCGCAAUAUGGGUCAGAAUGUAAAGCCCUUUCCAGGCCUUCUAUGGAUCAGCGUUAGGGGGUCAAGGAUCUGAGUCUUGGGAGCAGCUGACUUGGUCACAGGGAUCACGGUGCCAUCAAUUACACUUUAGGGAACUUUUCAAUUUUUUAAAUUUUCCCCCAGCACUUGGGGGCUAGGGUUGGAAAGGCUUGCCCUGAGCUGCAGCCCAUCUCCCCAGGCCCCUCCCCAGCUUGGUUCCGGGGCAGCAGCUGGAAGAAGUUGGCCAUGGAAAAGGAGCGGGGCAGGGGUGUUGUCUUGGUGUAUCCUUACCUAAUGCCUGAUAGAUUUUUUAAAUUUUCAUUUGGAGAGUCACCAGUGGCCCACCAGUCCUUGCCCUCACUCUGUCCCAUCAGGUUCCUCUUCAGUACUGUAUUGGCUCCUCUAGCAUCAGGAAUGGAUGUGUUUGUGUGUGUGUGUCCGUGUGCGCGUGUGCGUAUGGAUGUGUGUGGAUGUGUGUACACACCAAUAAACUCAGAUUUUAAAACAA